UCGGACGUGGUGUAUGAAACACGGCAGGUUCAUCUCUCAUAUUGUAGUCGUAGGUAACCCCGCAGAACGGGGUUCGACUCCCCGCGUCCGAA
Mycena galericulata is the source of this 92-nucleotide non-coding RNA. Lineage: Eukaryota; Fungi; Basidiomycota; Agaricomycetes; Agaricales; Mycenaceae. The record is from the annotation of a GenBank genome assembly.